ACUGAGACACGGCCCAAACUCCUACGGGAGGCAGCAGUAGGGAAUCUUCCACAAUGGGCGAAAGCCUGAUGGAGCAACGCCGCGUGGGUGAAGAAGGUCUUCGGAUCGUAAAACCCUGUUGUUAGAGAAGAAAGUGCGUGAGAGUAACUGUUCACGUUUCGACGGUAUCUAACCAGAAAGCCACGGCUAACUACGUGCCAGCAGCCGCGGUAAUACGUAGGUGGCAAGCGUUAUCCGGAUUUAUUGGGCGUAAAGGGAACGCAGGCGGUCUUUUAAGUCUGAUGUGAAAGCCUUCGGCUUAACCGGAGUAGUGCAUUGGAAACUGGGAGACUUGAGUGCAGAAGAGGAGAGUGGAACUCCAUGUGUAGCGGUGGAAUGCGUAGAUAUAUGGAAGAACACCAGUGGCGAAAGCGGCUCUCUGGUCUGUAACUGACGCUGAGGUUCGAAAGCGUGGGUAGCAAACAGGAUUAGAUACCCUGGUAGUCCACGCCGUAAACGAUGAAUGCUAAGUGUUGGAGGGUUUCCGCCCUUCAGUGCUGCAGCUAACGCAAUAAGCAUUCCGCCUGGGGAGUACGACCGCAAGGUUGAAACUCAAAGGAAUUGACGGGGGCCCGCACAAGCGGUGGAGCAUGUGGUUUAAUUCGAAGCAACGCGAAGAACCUUACCAGGUCUUGACAUCUUCUGACAAUCCUAGAGAUAGGACUUUCCCUUCGGGGACAGAAUGACAGGUGGUGCAUGGUUGUCGUCAGCUCGUGUCGUGAGAUGUUGGGUUAAGUCCCGCAACGAGCGCAACCCUUAUUGUUAGUUGCCAGCAUUAAGUUGGGCACUCUAGCAAGACUGCCGGUGACAA
Molecule: ribosomal RNA, 850 nt
Filed under: uncultured bacterium
Lineage: Bacteria
Description: bacterial SSU rRNA
Rfam family: Bacterial small subunit ribosomal RNA
Source: RNAcentral